UAAAGCAUGAAGUAUUGUAGAAAGCCUAGCCUAAACUACUGUAGUUUUAAAAUAAUUAUGUAUAAUAUAAUAAAGUAAUGCUAUUCACCUGUAAUAUAGUGAGAAAUGGCAUUCAAAAAACUUUAUAAUUAAAGUUGGCGGAAGAUUUUACAAAGCUAUAAGAUAAUUUAGUUUUCAUUGCAUCUUAAAUUAAUUGCGCAAGUGGAGCCAGAUUAUAAUUCGGAAAAAUGGCAGUGUAAAUAUUACAAUUUGGUAGGUCUAUUUAUUUACUUUUAAUUAUUAGUAUUUAAAAGUCAAAUUAAUAUGAAGCAGUUUCACAGAUGAUUAACGAAACCCUAUCAAGCCUUCUUGGAAUGUCUAAGUGAUAAAAAAAAAGUACAGUUAAUGUAGGUUUUUCCAUUUUUGGUUGGUAAUUAAAUGAAUAUUAGUGUGUAGGCAGGCCGUUCAGCGAGGCUGAGUCUGAAGUGACUCUGUUCUUUCCUGUUGUGUCUGCUAGAUGGACUUGAGGUGGUUUGAGGCCUGCUGUUUACCUUCUGCACUAAAUAGAAAUUCCUUGAAGCCUUCAGAGAGCAUUUAUCUGGCCACCUUAAUGUUAUGCAUUGGUCAUGAAUUUCUCCCCAUCUGUUACAAGAAGAAUUGGUUUGCUGUUGUGUUGGAUCAACAAGUGUUCAUUUUGAGCAAGGCAAGAUAUUAGGAAAGCAGUAAAUAUUACACACUGUGAGAUUGACUUAGAACAUUAUUUUUGGUGCAUUUGUUGUUUGAAUGCUGAGUAGUGUUAAAACCCAGAGGUGAAAAAGUUGAUUAAUUUGAUUAAUAAAUGUUCAGCUAAAUAAAGAGGAAAAAAAA
This is a long non-coding RNA of Carassius gibelio (silver crucian carp), 846 nucleotides long. RefSeq lists it as uncharacterized. NCBI's taxonomy places the organism in Eukaryota, Metazoa, Chordata, Actinopteri, Cypriniformes, Cyprinidae. The transcript has 3 exons. The record is from RefSeq and is a predicted model, not a curated record.